UAUGCAACAUUCGUGACCUAUUUUUGAUGGUUAGCCUAGAGACUUGUCUCUGUAGCAGGGAAAAUAAUUUCAGGCCACAAAUCUCAGGUGUCCAAAACAUAAGUUUUAAAUUUCUGUGUCUCGAGUCCCAUUCCACCUAGUAGCAGAAAACACAAUUUCACCAACUCAGGAUAAACUCAGUCACUUCAGGGUUACUUCCUUAACCCACUUUCCCUGGCAUGGCCUCUAUGCCUAGGGGACUAGUAGAGUUUUGAGGCAUCAGGAGUUGGCCACGGAGGUACCUGCACAAGCUGUCAUUUCCUGAAAUGCCCAUCCUUUUUUGGGCCUCAGCAAUUACAAUUCAUAGUAGCUCCAUCAAGGGCAUCUUCCUGUCCCAGUUAAGAGGCCAGAUCCAAGAGUCACACCUGUACCACUCUCAGCCACAGGAGAGAACAGCAGCUUGCCUCAGUUUGGCUGCCCAAGCAACCAGGUGAUCUGCAAAUAUUUCUGAAGCACCCUCAACCCAGGUACUGGGGAGGGCAGUGCACAGGUCUGACCGUCUCUGCCCUCCAAGAUUAUAGUCUAUAGGGAGGACCCAGCUCAUAGGCACAAGAACAAAAUAAAUAAGAAGGGGUGAUGUGGGAUACUGUAAAGGGAGCCACAGGUGGGAAAGGUCUGUCAGAGACAUGAUAUUUGACUUGAAACAGAAUGAUGCGAGGGAAGCAACCACACAAAAAUCUGGAGGAAUGGAUUUUCAGGGGGAAGAAACAGAAGCACAAAGUCUCCAAAAUAGAGAUGAUUUGGCCUUUUUGAUGGAGUGAAAAAGGAUAGUAUAGCUGGAGUGUAGAGAAGGAAGAGAGAUUGGAGAGAAUUGCAGGAGAGAGGUGGCCAUAGUGACAUCAGCUAUGAAAAACUUUGGAAACAGGCAAAAAUGAUUGCUUGGGUGUCCUAGCUUUGGCGUCCCUCUGGUUCAUCUUUCAUUGUCUAUAAACUAUUUGGCAAUACUGUCAGGAUGUGGAAUACUGAUAACAGUUCAAGUGAUUCCUGCCUGUAGAAAAGCAAACUGUGUCCAGCAGGGAGGCUGGUGAUUGUUCCCCUGUAGAUAUUGACCAGUUUGGCAACUAUAUUUAUUUUCAGCAUUCUUGGUGGUCUAUGUAUGUGUGGGUUUUUUUUGAAUCCUCCUCUGAACUAGUCGUAAUAUCUUAUUAGUUCCCUCAUUAUAGUGACAUGUUCAUUUUAUACUUGCGUAAGAGUCAAGAUUUCACCUUUUAUAAAUAAGUAUCUCUUGGAAACCUUAACCUCCUUUCUUGUCUUCCUUCCCUGAUGGCUUUCUCUUAUUCUCUUGUUCUGAACAAAUCGUAUGUCUUGGAGUAAGUCAGAAGCAGAUGGCACCCUCCUCUGUGCAGAGAGAACACAGUGAAGACUUACCCUUGGUUCGCUCACCUCUGUCCUGGUUUGCUCACACAGGAGGGAGAGGAGAACCCCAAUGGGGUUCUUUAGGAAAUGCACUGAAGUAGUUUUGGGAAUGGGAAGUGGUCUAUUCCCAGAGAUAUAAAUGUCCUACAGUGCCCAAAAUAGUCCCCCAAAAGGAAUAUAUCCAAGCACCCCCAGGGAGUAACAUUGCCCUUGGGUGACAUUGAUCUACAGAAUGUUGCUCUUGUAUGUGGGGGCCUUAAUGACUGCCCCCAAGAAUCCUGCUGGGACUCAGACAACCAUUGAUUUCAUUUACCAAAUCACUAAAUAGAAGCCAGUUUUAUGGUCAUAUUUCCCCUCUGGCAUGCAGAAAUGUUUAUGGCCUUCAAUAAAGACUGCUCUCUAUUGAGAACUGAGUUGAGUAUAUAUUGUUUUAAACUUCAGCAUCCUCCAAUAAGAUUUAUAUUCUUGUUUUGCUUAAGAUUCACAUUUUAAUGUGGCAAUAAAAACUAGUGAGAUUGUUUCAUUGUAAAGGAUCCUAUUUAGUUAAUUAUCAGGCCCCAUGCCACAAAUCACUGUAUUGGGCUUCUUGUACCAGGGAAGGCUGUUAUUUCUCCCUCUCCUCACAUGAGUCACGUGAGCCUAAGUUGUGCUGAUGAGAAGAGCUGAGGUUAGAGAUGGUGGGAAGAGAAGAGAGGAAAGAGAUAACAUUCCUGUACUGUGAACCCCUCCAAAAAGCCACCAUGCAUGCAUUAAUUCAGGAGGCAGUGUCCAGAUGCUGGGGUCAGAUCUUGAAUCCCAGCUCUGUGACCUCAGGCACAUUAUUUACUGUCUCUGAAUUUCUAGUCCCAAAUAGGUUAUAAUGAUGCUAUAUUAACCUCCUGCCUGUGUUUUGAAAAUUAAAUUAGGUAACGGAUUUAAGGAAGCUGGCACCAAGAAAAGCAGGGAGAAAGUGUUGGAUCUUUCUUUAGUAGAGGCUGACAUCCUUGAAUAUGCAUCCAGCAUAAUGUGCCUGAUGUUUGCCAGGAGUCACCAGAACUGCAGACAAGUAUCCAGAUAACUGGGAGUAGACAAGAAGGCAUCAGGAGGUUAGGGAUUCAGGUGAGAAUUUGAGCAGCGAGGAGCGAUGUCUUGGGCAAGGGUCACGGCCAAAUAAGGUCAGAAGCAACACAUACCAAGAAGGGUGAUGGCACACAAGUGAAGUGCAAGAGUGGGGCUCGUUAUUAAACUGGUUAACUCCUGGGGGAUUUCUGGACCAAGAGCAUAAAGCCCAGAGACUGCAGGUAGUUGACAGUGGGCUGCUUCACUUGAGAAGGAAAGUGGGCUAGGUGGGGUCCAGGACCACCAGGUGAAGGCAAAUCAGAUAAGUCCUUCUGCAAGGCCCUUCGGCUGAAAGCAAGCUCCUCUUCCCUUGGACAGACUUAAGUUUCCUACCUUCCCCACCCACAGGGCAACGAGGUAGUAUUGAGAGCAGUCCUGACAAUCCAGGAUGGAAGCUGUGAUCAAUCAAUGGCUCAAACAUCAGUUCAGGGUGAGCUUUUCUGCCCUGACAAUGAUCUGGAUAGCCUCAGAGAUUUCAGAUGGAUUUUUCUCUCUGAUGUCAGCUCUGAACAAUCAGUAAUGGCUGCCUGGAACGCUGUCUUGAGAAAUGGCUUGAAGGCCACAUUUGGGAAGAAUGCUGUGAUUGAUUAUUUAUGUCUGCCAAGGGCUUAGAAAUGAUGAGUGAGGUAUACUUGCUACCUUUUAGCUGGAAGUAGCACAGCCAAUUCCCCCUGGCUUACAGCUGGAGCAUGCCUGUAAGAUGUUGGUGGAGGAGCUUACUCAUUCAUGUAUUCAUGUAUUCAGCAUUUCCAGAACAGCCUCCAUGGAGACAGCACUACUGCACUGGAGAGAGAAAGGGUGCCAUAGGAAAAAGUUCCAAGGAAUCUCCAAGCUAUUUUACAGACCCAAUAAUGCUUUGGCACUUCAUUUAGAUUCAAAUCAGCAAACAACCCCCAGGAAGUAAAAAUUAUUAUCAUCCCAAAUUUGCAGACUAGAAAACUGAGUCUUAUCUCCAUUUUGGUAAUACUUGCUUUAAUAAUCCCUGCUAUAAUAAUUGUCACGUCCUCAAAUGCACAGUCUUGCACAUCCUUCACUGAAGGCCUAGAAAAGGAUGAGAUAAUGCAAGUACAAAAUCAUUUGCCCUCUUUAUCAUUUAACAGCAACCCUCCUGACACAUUGGCCAGCCCUCAGCCGAGCUCUGAGUGUUUCCUAAACUGAAGGAAUGCGUGUUCGGUGAAUUGGCCCAUAUUUUAUCUCCCUACAAAAUAGCUAUUUAAAUAUCCCUCGAGUAUGCACUUUCUGAAUCAUUAAGGUCUCAGGGUGCAUCAAUUACACUAAUUUGGGAAAGUGAUCACAUUCAUGCAGGGCUGUUAUUUUUAAAGAAAAGACAUUUCAGUGUAUUGAUGGGGAAUCGGUGUCCGGAGUAUAUAGAUUUCCAGUUAUCCCCUGUCAUGGCAAGAGUCCAUCGGUUUCCUUUAAGAAAUGAAGAACACAUUAUGCCUGGUAUUAACAAAGAUCAAUUUCAGUAAAGGAAGACAUCCAACACAAGGGAGUUAAACAGAGCUGGGAAUAAAUGACGUAAUGUUUGAAGCGAUAAGGGAUAAGUCAUGCUGGGACUCCAAGUUCUUGUAUAAGUGAUGAUUAAAUGGACUUUUUGUCCCUGCCUUUUGCUAAAGGUGAUAUUUCUUUACUGUAAAGUAUAAUGUAUCUAUUUUGGCAUCGUCAGUGAAGUAUGCAGUUAAUAAUUGGGCUUCUUAAAGAUUUCAGAAUUCUUUGGUCUUAACAUGAAGGGAGGGCCUUAUCUUUACUGCUAACUCAUUUCUGUUCUUCAAACCGAAGCGACACUCUUUUAUGAGAAUUUGGCUUUGGGUGUUAUCUUUCAAGAAAACAGUAUUCCAAACUUCAAUACAGUGAAUAGAGUCAAACAGACACCAUGAGAAUAAUACGGGAGAUUUGGGAAAUAGAGUAAAGAUAAACUCUCUGCCGAGAUGUGAGAUGCAAUGAAAGAAAAGGAAAUGAUGAGGUGAAUAGGAACAACACUGGUGCAGGAUUUCUCUCAGCGUCUCUUAAAAAAAAAAUGACAACGGCAACUAAACCAGACUUUUUCUUUUGGGGUCCAUGAAAGCUAUUUAACAAUUUAAGUCUAUUCAUAUGUUUAAAGCUGGAAGAGACCUCAGAUAUUUCAAGAUGAGAAAGCCCAGGGAGGUAGUGUGACUUACAGAGGAUCAUAGUGUCCCUUUCUCCUGGCUGGUAGCCAUUUCUUGGUAGCUAAAUUUUCAUUUUUAAGAGGAAAAUUCCUUUAAAACAAAACAAAACAUUGUCCCAAUUUUUUGAAUUCUGUUUUUGAUGGUGGUAUUGACUUUUGAACAUGCACCAGAAAAUGAGCACUUUGAUUGGAUGCCAGGAAUGUUAACUUGGAACUAAGCAGAAUGCUGAGAUUCUGAUUCCGUGUUGCUUGAGGACUGGCACUUGUGACAUCUCUAGCUCAGACACAGGGUCAUGGAGGAGACAAGAUCUAACCAGGAGAAAAGAACAAAGAACCUCAUCUAAAAAAAAAAGAAAAUGUCCAUUUCAUCAUUUUUUCCAGGCUAACCUCUAGCAGAUGGCUUGGCUUUAUGUUCACUGAGAAGGACAGCAGUAAAGCAGUUCCUAAACUAUCUCCAAGUUUCAUGGAGUCUGAAUGACCUGAACUGGGAAGGCCAGAGGGAAGUUCAGACAAGUGUAGCCUGAGCCAGAGGGAAGACAAGCCAAACCAUAGCAGAGAAUGGGAAACCAAAAGGAUAGUCAAGUACCUACCAGAAUCUUAUUUAGGGACAGAAGAGGAAGAAGAGAGCUGGAGGAAAAAGGAAGGAGGGAUGAAAGAAUGUGACACUCACAAGAGGGAUGAAGAACAAAGGCUCUGGAGGGGUCUAUUUGAUGCAUUUCCUUGGCCCGUCCAUCUGUGUUUCCUGUCUGGGGUAUGUUUUCAGGCCUCUGAGGAUACAUUUCACCCUGGAAGUGGACACAAACAAUCAGAGUUCAAGUCAAAUCAGUCAACCGACGUUGAUUGACCACCUACUAUGUUCCCAGAUGUGGUGGGUUCUGAGGAUGCAGGGAUGAACAAGACACAAUCCCUGCUUCAAGGACUUGCACACAGUUGAUGGACAAGGAAGGAGGCCACUGAGUGAAAGGGGAGAGUGCAGAUCCAUUCUACAUAUACCCACCUCUGCUUUGGAAGCAGAACUGAAGCGUGCUGCUGUGAAUUUUAUAAACAGUUCGCCAAGGUGUACACGGUUGUCACCUAUGGACCUUGUGCUGACAUAAAUUGGGGCUCUACACGUGGCAUCUUUCACUUCAGUGUAGUGUGAAAUAUGCCCUGUUGGGACAUUGAUGGAAUACAGUACCCGAUUUUAACUAAACUAACUCUCAGAAAAUGAACACUUGGCUUUAAAAGUUUCCUGCCAAGAAAUAGCAGUUGGAAGAUUUAUGCGGACAGACAAUGUGGAAAUGGCCCAGCUGACCAUGAGCCCAGCACGUAAAUGGGCUCUGGGUCAGCCAUGCUGUGAGGUGCAGCAGUGGUGAUCUGAUCACUUCUGACAAGACGUCAGCCAAAUGAAAAACAUGGAAACGAUGAUUCUUUGAAAUACAUGUUUACAUCCACUGUCAUUAAUCUGCCUCAAAUGUUAGGCUGCAUGUGAGUAGGAAGUCACCAUGAGUAGCAGAAUGUCCAAAAAGUAAGCAUUCAGAAUGAAGACACAAACUUCUAAAAUAGCGUUGGCAUUAUUUUAGGUUGGGUGUCGCCCAAUCCACUAUUUUUUUUAAAUGUCAGUGUACAACAAUUAAGAAGCAUCUUUAAGGAUUUCUUAGAAGAAGCAAAAGAUCAUGCAUAUUUUUUCUGUGUUCUUCCUUCUAUGGUAAAAAUGGCUGAAACAGAUGUGGAAAAGAAUAUGGUCACAAACUAGAAUGGAUUCCUUGAUCAGCAAAUAGUAUUUAAAGAUGCAUAGAAAACAUGGUUGAAGGUUAGAAGAAAUGUGUACAGACAAAUUAUACUGAGUGGGAGGUUUGUUGUGCUUUGGGGUGAAAGUACAGAUGUCUGAGUUAAUGGUAUUACUAGGUUAUUUUUCAAUAAUGAACUUUGUAAGAACAAAGUGUGUGUGUGUGUGUGUGUGUGUGUGAGAGAGAGAGAGAGAGAGAGAGAGAGAGAGAGAGAGAGAG
Felis catus (domestic cat) is the source of this 6627-nucleotide long non-coding RNA. RefSeq lists it as uncharacterized. NCBI's taxonomy places the organism in Eukaryota, Metazoa, Chordata, Mammalia, Carnivora, Felidae. The transcript is spliced from 6 exons. The record is from RefSeq and is a predicted model, not a curated record.